UUCGAUGAUACGCGAGGAACCUUACCUGGGCUCGAACGUAAGAUGACUGUAGGUGAAAGCUUACAUCUCUUCGGAGCAUUUUACGAGGUGCUGCAUGGUUGUCGUCAGCUCGGUGCCGUGAGGUGUCGGGUUAAGUCCCCAUAACGAGCGCAACCCCUACCUUUAGUUGCCAUCAGGUUAAGCUGGGGACUCUAAAGGAACUGCCUACGCAAGUAGUGAGGAAGGCGGGGAUGACGUCAAAUCAGCACGGCCCUUACGUCCAGGGCUACACACGUGCUACAAUGGCCGAUACAGAGGGCAGCUACCUGGUGACAGGAUGCAAAUCUCCAAAGUCGGUCUCAGUUCGGAUCGGAGUCUGCAACCCGACUCCGUGAAGUUGGAUUCGCUAGUAAUCGCGCAUCAGCCAUGGCGCGGUGAAUACGUUCCCGGGCCUU
RNAcentral lists this ribosomal RNA (434 nucleotides) under uncultured Sphingobacteriales bacterium. RNAcentral's name for it is "bacterial SSU rRNA". It matches the Rfam family "Bacterial small subunit ribosomal RNA", at positions 950 to 1382 of the family's 1533-position model. The record is from RNAcentral. Lineage: Bacteria; Pseudomonadati; Bacteroidota; Sphingobacteriia; Sphingobacteriales.